UUUUUGGUGGGGGGGGGGAGUAAAAUCAAGAGUUGGAACAGACUUUAGAAGGCAUUAAGUCCAACGGCAUCUGCAUGUACUCAUAAAAAACAGGUUUAAAGAGUUUUCUUGGAAAGAAAAAAAAGUUUUCUUGGAUUUUGUGACAAUUUUCUCUUGAGUUUAGCUCAAGUCUUGAUGUCUGAGCCCCUAGCUCUGUGCUCUUUCGUGAUGCAGUACUGCCUUCUUUGUAUGUAUAAUUUCUAAACUGAUGCAGGUUGGAAGGUCUGCUAAAUGCUAAACAGCACCCUCCGGUUGAAUUAAUUAAGUAAUUAUUUUAGUUUGGGAGGCAUCUGUGUGAUAGAGAUUUGGUUCUAUGAUUUGACUUCUGUCUCAGCAGCUUGGCCUUGUGGCCUUGGGGAAGGUGACUAACACUCUUUGAGCUCUAGUUUCUUUGUAUGCACAGUGAGAAGAAGAAUAUUCACCUUUGAGAAGUCGGGAAGUUAUAGAAUUGCAAUGUUUAUUCCUAAUACACAGCAAUUAACUACAACUGUUAUUGUCAUUGGUGUUUCUUGAGUAUUUCUGAGAUUUUCUUUGAAAGCCCAACAUUUAAAAGAGAGGAGGAUUCAACCAUAUUUUAAUAAAAGUAAUUUCAAAAAAUAAAAGAGAGGAAGAAAGAAGGAAGGGAAGAAAGAAAAGACACAGAACCAGAUCUCUACAUGUCAUUUUAGAUUGCUCUUUGCCUUUUCUUUAGAGUUGGAUUCCUGAUUAGAUAAUAACACCUACUCCUUCCUUAUCUAAUUUGAUGGUUAAGAGACAAAAAUUGAUAUCAUAGAAGAAGCACUAUGUAAGUUAAUAUGUUAUCAUUGUAUUAUAAUUAUUUCAGGAAUCUUGAAUAAUCUACUUUUUAAAUGAAGGAAAAUCUAUAACACAACUGUCAGGGCAUUUGGUGAGGGAAAUAAUAUAUAGUAUUUGAUGGUUCAGAAAGUUAGUUUUGUCUCCGUCAUCAAUAUUUUUGUGUGGAAAGCAAAAAGAUCAGUAAGGUAGUCAAACCUCCGAGAAGUGUUUUCAAGAGAAUUUUGUCCAUCUAGGUAAAACUCCGCUGGUAAAUAUUUCUUUCUGCUCUUAAACUUUAGGCCUCUUACAAGCGCUCUGUAAUUGCACAAAUGGUACUGCUGAUUCAAACGAAAGUAUGGGAAUUCUGCGGAAAGAAAUAUCUAGCUCUGGGAAAAAAAUUUCGAAGUGCCCAUUACCAUGAUAAAUCAGGUAAUUUUUGAGUGGUGACUGCAACAUCGCUCUGCAGGUGGGGGUGAUCCAUAAAAGAGCUGCUUUCACCUUUAAAGACCUAAUUAUCCUAACAAGUAGCUUCAUUAUUGACACCAGCAAGACUUGUUCACAUCUGCAUUCUGCCUUGAACUUGUAAGUAUUGACAUUCUUACAAGUGGGGUGCAGUGAGUUUUCAUCCAGAGAUAUCUUUUCCUAAUAGAGUGGGGAAUUAUUUUGUAACUGGAAAUUCUUCCAAUUGGGAAUCACCCUUCCCCCAUUACCACCCCUCCUCCACUACCACCAAUUUGAAGAAACUUUUAUUCUGGCAAUUAAACUAAUAAACUAAUCAAUAAUAAGAUUACUCUCUGCAGCAGCAGACAGCUUCUAAGGCAGGCUGAUGGAAAUACUUAGGGAUAAAUUUAACAAAACGUGUGAAAUACCUACAUUGAAAUCUAGGAAAGAUUGUCAAGAGAAAUUUUAUUUAUUUAUUUAUUUAUUUAUUUAUUUAUUUAUUUAUUUAUUGUCUUUUUAGGGCUACACCCACAGCAUAUGGAGGUUCCCAGGCUCGGGGUUGAGUCAGAGCUGUAGCCGCUGGCCUACACCACUGCCACACCAACUCGGGAUCUGAGCUACAGCUGUGAUCUACACCACAGCUCAAGGCAACACCAGAUUCUUAACUCACUGAGUGAGGCAGGAUCAAACUUGUGUCCUCAUGGAGGCUAGUUGGGUUCGCUAACCUCUCAGCCAUGAUGGGAACUCCGUUAAGAGAAAUUUUAAAAGUCAAUAAAAAGGAAAGAUAUUCUGGAACUAGAAAACUCACAUUGUUAAGAUGUCAAUUCUCUCCAAAUUGAUCUAUAGAUUCAACGUAAGUCCCAGGACUUCACUGUAGAAAUUGGCAAACUGAUCCUAAUGGAUAUAUGAAAAUAUAAAGGACCUAGAAUUGCCAAAAUAAUUUUUAAAAAGAAAUAUAAAUUUGGAGGACUUCCAUUUCCUGAUUUUAAAGCCUUAUUCAGAGCUAAAUAAUCAAGACUAUGGUCUUGGUGUAAGGAAAAGCAAAUAAUAGAUCAAUGGAAUGGAAGGGAGAGUUCAGAAAUAGACCACCAUUUAUACAGUCAAUUGAUCUCUGACAAGGUGCCAAGGUAAUUUGAUGAGGAAAUAAUAGUACUAUCGAUAGAUAGUGCUGGGACACCUGGAUAUUGAAAUAGAAAAGACAAAAAAAAAAAAAGAAACAUUGAACAGUACUCAUACUGUGCACAAAAACAAAUUCAAAGUGGAUCAUAGACCUAAAGUCUGAACAUUUGAAACUUUGGAGUUCCUUUCAUGGCUCAGUGGAAACAAACCUGACUGGUAUCCUUGAGGAUGAGGAUUUGAUCUCUGGCCCAUCUCAGUGGGCUAAGGAUCCUGCGUUGCCCUGAGCUGUGGUGUAGGUCACAGACACAGCUCAGAUCCAGCCUUGCUGUGGCUGUGGAGCAGGCCAGCGGCUAUAGCUCUGAUUCAACCUCCAGCCUGGGAAACUCCAUAUGCCAUCGGGUGCAGCCCUAAAAAAAAAAAAAUAAAUAAAUAAAUAAACAUUUGACACUUCUGGAAGAAAACAUAGACAUUUUUUAAGAUUUGUGGGUAGGCAAAGAUUUUGUAGCUAGACCAUAACCAUAUCCAUAAAAAUCGAUACAUUUUUACUACUAAGAAACUGAAAUUAGGAGGUUCCUUUUUCUCCACACCCUCUCCAGCACUUACUGUUUGUAGACUUUUGGAUGAUGGCCAUUCUAGCUGGUGUAAGGUGGUACCUCAGAGUGGUUUUGAUGUGCAUUUCUCUAGUAAUGAGUGAUGUCAAACAUCUUUUCAAGUGUUUCCCGGCCAUCUGUAUGUCUUCUUUGGAGAACUGUCUGUUUUGAUCUUCUGCCC
RNAcentral lists this long non-coding RNA (3144 nucleotides) under Sus scrofa (pig). Its description in RNAcentral is "lncRNA (ENSSSCG00045027180.1)". The record is from RNAcentral. Lineage: Eukaryota; Metazoa; Chordata; Mammalia; Artiodactyla; Suidae.